Non-coding RNA from Pelobates cultripes (western spadefoot toad), 441 nucleotides. The record is from the annotation of a GenBank genome assembly. Lineage: Eukaryota; Metazoa; Chordata; Amphibia; Anura; Pelobatidae.
CCAUAUGUCAUCAUUGACAAAAUUUCCCCAGUAGCGUACAAAAUAAAAAUUCCUAAGGAUGGUGAUUUUAUUGAAAAGUGGGUUCACAUUAACCAGUUGCGUGCUUGUCAUCCUAAAUCUCAAUUAAGGAUUAUAGGUGUGGAUUCGGAUGCAGAAGGGUGAACGACUAACCUGGAUGAAUGCUUGAUUCACGUGGUAUAGUAUGAUGUGAAAUGUUGUGAUGUGCCAUGAUCUCAUGUACGUUCAUGUCAUUAACCAUUUCCUUGCCAUCCAAUAACUACAUUUUAUAAGCAGGUUACUAGCUUGUUUAAAUGCUAUAGGCAAAUUGCUGAAGAGUCAGUAAUAAAUGUAGUGAGGGAUGAAGUUAUAAAAAUAGAAUUAGACAGAAUACAUAUGUUGAUGAAUCGUAAUAAUGUGUUGUCCUAGGCCAAGUGAUGUCAC